Molecule: long non-coding RNA, 1339 nt
Filed under: Coturnix japonica (Japanese quail)
Lineage: Eukaryota; Metazoa; Chordata; Aves; Galliformes; Phasianidae
Description: lncRNA (ENSCJPG00005007129.1)
Source: RNAcentral
AUGCUGCCCCUAGCUCUGUCCCCAGCUGCUGCCAGCAACCCAGAUGUCAGGAGGAGUCCUCUGCUCUCCCACAGGACUCCAGGCUGUGCUCAGAGCAUGAUCUCGCUGCUUCUGUGCUUACCCAGGGGGUUAAGGGCUUUCCUGGCUCCUUUCUCUAUGAACAAAGAGGAGGGCAGCACACAGGCACCAGAUGUGAUGAUGAGCAUCUCUGUGCCUCAGCAUCCCUUGCUGUACAAUAGGGAAUAUAUCUCCUUCGCUGCACUUCGGUGGACUUCCAUUUGUGAUUGUUCACAAAAGCAGAAGAAAUGGAGUCCUUUUGGAGUAUGUUUAAUCACUUGAAGAUUUAUUACUGCUCCAAGGGGGUUUCACUCUAUACCCUUUAUUUUUUUUGUCCCUCAUCUCAAUGACAACUUCAUCUCCCCAUCAGAAAAAUAUUUACAGGCACUUUAAAUGUGUCUUUUAAGGGCACAAAUUGAGGAAGUUAUUUCUGACAAAACAAACACUUUGAUCUCUUAGAAAAAUCAUUUGGGUUGAUCCAUAUGACAGGGAUUUUUGUGGCUUGGAUAGUGUGUGUUGCGUCAUCCAGUGGGGGGUGUUUGAACUAGAUCAACUUUAGGGUCCCUUCUAACCUGAGCCAUUCUUUGGGUCUUGAGUCAUCAUUGCUUCUUUGGGCUUCAAAGAGAUCGUGGGGGACACUUUUUACCAGCAUCUCAAUAAGUCUGUACAUUGCUGACCCUCUUAGCAAAAUAGAUUCUCCAAAAAGACAUCAGCUGGGCUGUCUGUCUUCCUGUAAUAGAACAAAAUAAUACAUUCAGUAAUUCUAGGUGUCCAAAUAUAAAAAUGAAGGGUGUAAGCUCUUGUGCGCAGCUCUGUUGCUAUUGCUGAUCUACCACACCACAUGCUGUGCCCAGCACCUCUCUGACUCCAUGUGCCAUUCUACCCUUGUGUUGGCCCAGCUCUUCACAGGAGUGCUGCUCAGAGCUGCUAUGCUGCUUGAGUUCUUUGCUCGUGGUAUUGCUAAAAUGGAGCCUCUGGUGCUUCCUUUGAGGACAACAAAAUGUUGAGAUGAGUUGCACGAAGAGGUGGAACCAGCAUCCUUGCUGUGGUUGGUUUCUUGGAGCUCUGUCCUAACACAGGCUGUGUUCCCUGCAGAACCCAUAGUUGUGUGCAGAUUUCUGACUGUGGCUGUUCCUUUGUAAAGCUGAGUGGUUCCAUGCAUGGGGUGAUGUGCUUCUCUCCCUUUUGCUCUGCACCUUUUUUGCAUUCACACUGCCACAUCUGUUCCUCAUCCAGAUUUCCCAGCUGUUUGAAAUAAGAUAGAGGAGAAAAAAACAAAAUU